AUCUGGAGUUUAUUAGGUGAAGAAGCUCCGGGUGGGAGGUUUGAGCCGAGCGCAGCGAGACAGCAUUGCUGUAGCAACGACCCGUAGAGGGACGUCACGCAGUAACGACGAGUUAUCUUCCCUCUCCAACCA
This 132-nucleotide small RNA is filed under the name Buttiauxella sp. B2. RNAcentral's name for it is "RtT sRNA". It matches the Rfam family "RtT RNA". Rfam says of the family: This family represents a bacterial cis-regulatory element known as RtT RNA. The record is from RNAcentral. Lineage: Bacteria; Pseudomonadati; Pseudomonadota; Gammaproteobacteria; Enterobacterales; Enterobacteriaceae.